This 253-nucleotide ribosomal RNA is filed under the name uncultured bacterium. RNAcentral's name for it is "partial 16S ribosomal RNA". It matches the Rfam family "Bacterial small subunit ribosomal RNA", at positions 524 to 776 of the family's 1533-position model. The record is from RNAcentral.
GACGAAGGGGGCAAGCGUUGUUCGGAAUUACUGGGCGUAAAGGGCGCGUAGGCGGUUCUUUAAGUCAGGCGUGAAAGCCCUGGGCUCAACCUGGGAGUGGCGCUUGAUACUGGAGGACUAGAGAGUGGGAGAGGUUGGUGGAAUUCCCAGUGUAGAGAUGAAAUUCGUAGAUAUUGGGAAGAACACCGGUGGCGAAGGCGGCCAACUGGACCAUUUCUGACGCUGAGGCGCGAAAGCGUGGGGAGCAAACAGG